GACGGGACCCGCACAAGCGGUGGAUGAUGUGGAUUAAUUCGAUGCAACGCGAAAACCUUACCUACCCUUGACAUGUCUGGAAUCUUGGUGAGAGCCGAGGGUGCCUUCGGGAGCCAGAACACAGGUGCUGCAUGGCUGUCGUCAGCUCGUGUCGUGAGAUGUUGGGUUAAGUCCCGCAACGAGCGCAACCCUUGUCACUAGUUGCCAUCACUUGGUUGGGCACUCUAGUGAGACUGCCGGUGACAAACCGGAGGAAGGUGGGGAUGACGUCAAGUCCUCAUGGCCCUUAUGGGUAGGGCUUCACACGUCAUACAAUGGUCGGUACAGAGGGUUGCCAAGCCGCGAGGUGGAGCCAAUCCCUUAAAGCCGAUCGUAGUCCGGAUCGUAGUCUGCAACUCGACUGCGUGAAGUCGGAAUCGCUAGUAAUCGUGGAUCAGCAUGUCACGGUGAAUACGUUCCCGGGUCUU
Molecule: ribosomal RNA, 467 nt
Filed under: uncultured Thauera sp.
Lineage: Bacteria; Pseudomonadati; Pseudomonadota; Betaproteobacteria; Rhodocyclales; Zoogloeaceae
Description: bacterial SSU rRNA
Rfam family: Bacterial small subunit ribosomal RNA
Source: RNAcentral